Long non-coding RNA from Malus domestica (apple), 1141 nucleotides. RefSeq lists it as uncharacterized. Lineage: Eukaryota; Viridiplantae; Streptophyta; Magnoliopsida; Rosales; Rosaceae. The record is from RefSeq and is a predicted model, not a curated record.
AAUCUAAUGUGUUUCCAAUUUUACCCCCGAUGAUUUUUUAUUUUUUCUGUUUGUUAUUUGUCCGUUAGUUUAUUCAUGUCAUGAAACUAUAAUUUGCGAAGCAUUCGAAAAUCUCAUAGCUGGAUCAUUUAAGAGAGGAGAAAGAUAACAAACAACUGCUAAAAUUGCCGCCGAUUGCAACCAACCCAUGUAUGCAAUUAAAGCCCUUCAACUCCUUCAACAUUGCCUUCAUGAUGAGCGGCGCAUUCUCGAUCCUCUUCUUAUGCAGCUUCCUCGAAUUCCGCACCUGACCCGUUUACCCAUUUAAUCGGCGCAUUUAGGAAGUGGGGUGCCAAAGUGGGUUGCUCCCGUUUGAAAGAGAAGCACAAGCAGCUGCAGUUCUGCAACAAAUUCACUGCGAAUCAGAAUGGGGGGAGUCGAAACUGGAGCAUGUUAGCGUGUUGGUGAAGGUGUGGACUUGGAUUACUGAUAAUUUGGAUAAUUUGUAUUCGUGUCCGUGUGGGUUGAGCUGUUUGUGGACUAAAUCUUAUGUUCUUGUUAACAAGCCUGAUGCUUUGCUGUUUGAGACCACUACACCUCCCCUUCAGCUCAAAGAAGGAAGGGAUUGGAAGAUGUGCAUCAGCUGCAUAAUUGAAUUGAGGAGAGAGAGACUGAUUUCUUGCCUUCUCCAAUUCCUUCCUUCUGGGAUUUGUCUUGGUAUUCUGCAAGGAAGGCUGAGAUGGAAGUUAUCAGGUCCGAAAUGCUCGAUAGGGAAAACAUUCAGAAGUUUUGGGAUGAGAAAAUGAAUGCAGAGAAAACCCGUGGUCUUGAGGUGGAGAAGGCUUAUCUUGCUGCCCUUAGUGAUUUGGAACAGGAGAAGAUUAUCCAAGAAAAGAAUUUUGCCGAGAUUUAAGGGAUAAGUCCGCUAUGGACUGCCAGAGGCAAUUACUUCUCAGUCCCAAGGAAGAGGUCAUUAAGAUGUCCAAAAAGCUUGCAUCUGAAAAUGUUCAGUUUCAUAAAUAGUGUUGUUUCGGUUUCAUAAGUAGUGUUCAGUUUCAUAAAUAGUGUUGGCUUAGUUUCAUAAAUAGUCUUAGUUGCAUUUGAGUUGUAAAUCCAUGAAAUUAUAUUCGCAAUUUGAUUUCUUUCAAUUGACGCGCUAUAA